This 488-nucleotide ribosomal RNA is filed under the name uncultured bacterium. RNAcentral describes it as "bacterial SSU rRNA". It matches the Rfam family "Bacterial small subunit ribosomal RNA", at positions 31 to 507 of the family's 1533-position model. The record is from RNAcentral.
GAACGCUGGCGGCAGGCCUAACACAUGCAAGUCGAACGGUAACAGGAAGCAGCUUGCUGCUUCGCUGACGAGUGGCGGACGGGUGAGUAAUGUCUGGGAAGCUGCCUGAUGGAGGGGGAUAACUACUGGAAACGGUAGCUAAUACCGCAUAAUGUCGCAAGACCAAAGAGGGGGGACCUUCGGGCCUCUUGCCAUCGGAUGUGCCCAGAUGGGAUUAGCUUGUUGGUGGGGUAACGGCUCACCAAGGCGACGAUCCCUAGCUGGUCUGAGAGGAUGACCAGCCACACUGGAACUGAGACACGGUCCAGACUCCUACGGGAGGCAGCAGUGGGGAAUAUUGCACAAUGGGCGCAAGCCUGAUGCAGCCAUGCCGCGUGUAUGAAGAAGGCCUUCGGGUUGUAAAGUACUUUCAGCGGGGAGGAAGGGAGUAAAGUUAAUACCUUUGCUCAUUGACGUUACCCGCAGAAGAGGCACCGGCUAACUCCGUG